GUCACUGCUUCUGCAGCCCAACAUAUCAAAUCCCUUUUUCAGAGGCCACUGGCACAGAACUGAGGAAAGAAUAUGUGUCACUCAUCCAUCCAGCUGCUACUGAACAAAAUACUGUGAGGGAGAGGAGGCACUGCCUGGUGAAGUACCAUGAGGGACGGAGGUGCUACCGUUCAGCCUGUUGCUGUCACCACUGAACUCUUCUUGGAGGAGUCACUGAUCUCUUGUAAGCUUUCCCCAAUAAGUCAUGUCUUGCACACCAUUCUGGACACUUUUUUUGUGUGUGUGGUUCAGCAACCUGCCCCACUUCCCUGAAACAAUCAGACUGUGAAUGUGACGCAACCAGAGGGGCUUUUGCCUUUUCUGCCACCAUGGAGCAGAUAGCCAGAGUGGGAAGCUGCCUACAACUGCUGUCUGACAGGAUCAGGAAAUUACCCAAACCAGCAAACAACCACAACCUAGAGGCUAUAAUGACCUGGAAGCUACCACAACCAAGAGGAGCCUCAGGAAGGCCAGACCUCCACCCAUGCAGUGCUUCUUGGCCAGCAAAAGCCACAGAAGAAGGAGAAUAGCUACCCAACAUUGCUGACAGAUCUUAACAUAAUCUGGAAGAGUCCAUCACAUUCUAAGAAGUGAAU
Molecule: long non-coding RNA, 635 nt
Filed under: Ictidomys tridecemlineatus (thirteen-lined ground squirrel)
Lineage: Eukaryota; Metazoa; Chordata; Mammalia; Rodentia; Sciuridae
Description: lncRNA (ENSSTOG00000034243.1)
Source: RNAcentral